This is a long non-coding RNA of Eriocheir sinensis (Chinese mitten crab), 1268 nucleotides long. RefSeq lists it as uncharacterized. Lineage: Eukaryota; Metazoa; Arthropoda; Malacostraca; Decapoda; Varunidae. The transcript has 5 exons. The record is from RefSeq and is a predicted model, not a curated record.
AUGUAUUCCUAUGUAUUCCUCGCCCUUAUUCUCAACAACAACAACAACAACAAUAACAACAAACUAAUCUUUCACUACCGCACAAUUUCAGUCUCGGUUCAGAAGAAUUAUUCGAACUCACUUUCAUUCUUCUCUUCCAUUUUCGAACACAAUUAAAGCGAUGCGAACCUAGGACACGAGCCACUGAAUCCCUUCUUCCCUUCACUGCCUUCACUCCUUCAGCCAACGUGGUGGUGGCAACACGUGACCUGCCUGAGCUGACCAUUGUGGUGUGUUACUGAAGGAUGAAGAUAAUAGUGAUGGUGGUGAUGGCGGUAAUGGCAGCAAUGAAGACUCGUGCAGAAGAUAGAAUGAGAGAAAGACACGAGGGAAACGAUGAGACAGCAAAUAAUGGUGAGUCAGAUGGAGGGAGAAGAAGAUAAAGAUGAUAAGGAAGAAGAUAAAGAAGAUAAAGUGAUGCAGAGUGAUGGACACGUGACAGAUAACAACAGAGGAGGAGGAGGAACAACAACGAGAGAAGGAGAAAGAACAACAACUAAAGGAAGAAGAGAAGGAAGAAAAUAAACGAAAGAAGGAGGUAGAGGAUAAUGAAGAAGGAAAUGGCGGAGGCUCUGGCGAUGAUGGAUGGUUUCCUAAUGGCCACGUCAAAAGAGGGUCGACUGCACUACGAUUUACUGUUGAGGGAAGCACAGACGCCCAGGUGAGGCAGGCGGACACCUCCUGUACGCGGCCCGCAGGUCACCAGAAGGGACACUAUAACCCCCACCACGUAGAACGCAACCUGCAACACAAGGACUGAACACCAACACCACUACGAUCUACUGUUAAGGGAAGCACAGACGCCCGGCCUGAAGGAGACAUCCACCAGGUCAGCUCCCAGUUGGACCUUGCUCUCGCCUCCGCCGCAUCCCUCAGAAAGCAGAUGGACAAACAGCUAACGGAGUCCCGCGAUGCCCUGACCUCAGCCUUCAAAGACAUAAGAGCCUCUAUUAUAAGACACUUUGCCCUCUCACAUCAGCUAUUUCUAAAGGGAGUCAGCGGAGGAACUGCGCAGCCUGGUGGAGGGCGGGUUGCUGCGGGUGGGUCAGCUGCACAGCCUCAUCAUGGGGGAGUUCCCCGGCAUCAACGCGGUUGCGUUCUACGUGGUGGGGGUUAUAGUGUCCCUUCUGGUGACCUGCGGGCCGCGUACAGGAGGUGUCCGCCUGCCUCACCUGGGCGUGUGUGCUUCCCUCAAUAGUAAAUCGUAGUGGUGUUGGUGUUCAGUCCUU